This 452-nucleotide ribosomal RNA is filed under the name uncultured Streptococcus sp. RNAcentral describes it as "bacterial SSU rRNA". It matches the Rfam family "Bacterial small subunit ribosomal RNA", at positions 930 to 1382 of the family's 1533-position model. Lineage: Bacteria; Bacillati; Bacillota; Bacilli; Lactobacillales; Streptococcaceae. The record is from RNAcentral.
CGGUGGAGCAUGUGGUUUAAUUCGAAGCAACGCGAAGAACCUUACCAGGUCUUGACAUCCCGAUGCUAUUUCUAGAGAUAGAAAGUUACUUCGGUACAUCGGUGACAGGUGGUGCAUGGUUGUCGUCAGCUCGUGUCGUGAGAUGUUGGGUUAAGUCCCGGCAACGAGCGCAACCCCUAUUGUUAGUUGCCAUCAUUCAGUUGGGCACUCUAGCGAGACUGCCGGUAAUAAACCGGAGGAAGGUGGGGAUGACGUCAAAUCAUCAUGCCCCUUAUGACCUGGGCUACACACGUGCUACAAUGGUUGGUACAACGAGUUGCGAGUCGGUGACGGCGAGCUAAUCUCUUAAAGCCAAUCUCAGUUCGGAUUGUAGGCUGCAACUCGCCUACAUGAAGUCGGAAUCGCUAGUAAUCGCGGAUCAGCACGCCGCGGUCGAAUACGUUCCGGGCCUU